CCUACGGGAUGCUGCAGUGGGGAAUAUUGGACAAUGGGCGAAAGCCUGAUCCAGCCAUGCCGCGUGUGUGAAGAAGGCCUUCGGGUUGUAAAGCACUUUCAGUGGGGAAGAAAGCCUUGGGGCUAAUACCCUCGAGGAAGGACAUCACCCACAGAAGAAGCACCGGCUAACUCCGUGCCAGCAGCCGCGGUAAUACGGAGGGUGCGAGCGUUAAUCGGAAUUACUGGGCGUAAAGCGCGCGUAGGCGGUCUGAUAAGCCGGUUGUGAAAGCCCCGGGCUCAACCUGGGAACGGCAUCCGGAACGGUCAGGCUAGAGUGCAGGAGAGGAAGGUAGAAUUCCCGGUGUAGCGGGGAAAUGCGUAGAGAUCGGGAGGAAUACCAGUGGCGAAGGCGGCCUUCUGGACUGACACUGACGCUGAGGUGCGAAAGCGUGGGUAGCAAACAGGAUUAGAUACCCCUGUAGUC
RNAcentral lists this ribosomal RNA (465 nucleotides) under Vreelandella stevensii. RNAcentral's name for it is "partial 16S ribosomal RNA". It matches the Rfam family "Bacterial small subunit ribosomal RNA", at positions 338 to 795 of the family's 1533-position model. Lineage: Bacteria; Pseudomonadati; Pseudomonadota; Gammaproteobacteria; Oceanospirillales; Halomonadaceae. The record is from RNAcentral.